RNAcentral lists this ribosomal RNA (400 nucleotides) under uncultured bacterium. RNAcentral describes it as "bacterial SSU rRNA". It matches the Rfam family "Bacterial small subunit ribosomal RNA", at positions 355 to 747 of the family's 1533-position model. The record is from RNAcentral.
UCGAGGAUCUUUAGCAAUGGGCGAAAGCCUGACUAUGCGACGCCGCGUGAGGGAUGAAGUAUUUCGGUACGUAAACCUCUUUCGAUGGGGAAGAAAACCUCAGCAAUAACAUUGUUGAGGCCUGACGGUACCCAGAGAAGAAGCCACGGCCAACUCCGUGCCAGCAGCCGCGGUAAUACGGGGGUGGCGAGCGUUACUCGGAUUCAUUGGGUGUAAAGGACAGGUAGGCGGCUAUGUAAGUUGGAGGUGAAAUCCUGCGGCUCAACCGCAGAACUGCCUUCAAGACUGUAUAGCUUGAGGCUAGAAGAGGAGAGUGGAAUUCCCGGUGUAAGGGUGAAAUCUGUAGAUAUCGGGAGGAACACCAGUGGCGAAAGCGGCUCUCUGGUCUGGCCCUGACGCU